CUAAAACUUGAUUUUGGGAUAAACGCAGCUUGGCAAUAAAUGAAAUGAGAGUUAGCCAUUGUUGAAUUUAGUUGUUCUCAUGCUUGAGGACAAGCAUGAUUUAAGUGUAGAGGAAAUUGAUAGGUUGUUAAUUGUUAGUAAUUUUAUUGUUAAUUCUCCUCUUUAUCCUUGCCAAAUAUUGCUUUAAUUGUCAAUAUAUAUUUAUAUUUGGCAUUUGGAUAUAAUUU
RNAcentral lists this long non-coding RNA (227 nucleotides) under Coffea arabica (coffee). Its description in RNAcentral is "long non-coding RNA (CARA_LNC006655)". The record is from RNAcentral. Lineage: Eukaryota; Viridiplantae; Streptophyta; Magnoliopsida; Gentianales; Rubiaceae.